GGAAACGGGAUCAGUUAAUUGAGACAAAGGACAUAACAACUGGUAGGACAAAGCCUGGAACUUUGGGGGCCCACAUGGAGAAACACUGGGAAAAAAAGGCAGCGAAGGAGAAGGAUGGUGUCAAUGAAAAACAAAAGCAAAGGACAGAGGAUAAACCUUUUAAAAAGUGGUCAAGUGUCAAUUAUCAAAUGCGGGAAAGACGGAGCUGAGUAAUCAAGAGCCCUCAGGACCAGGAAGACACACAUCACCUGCUCUGGGUUUGGUAAUGAAGGCGUUAUCAGUCAUGGCUGGAGUGGGGCAGACUCUACGGGAGAGUGGAGGCCCACUCACAAAGCACCAACAGCCAGUGAAAGCAGAGUCCUGGGAAGCACGUCUAAGACAAGCUUGGAGCCAAGCAGCUUCUAUGAAGAGCGAUUGAUAAACAGGAAGGAAAACAAACACUCUGCUGUGACUUACUCCCACUCUGCUCAUUGGUUUUCUUCCUUCUACAAACAAAAGUUUGUUCAUAGAUGCCCAACUAUUGCUGCAGCUGAUCUGUUUUCCUGGGUUUCAGUUCCCCUUCAUUAUCUGUAAUUGCUUGGGGACUUCAAGUCAAAAAAGCCUAAUAUUUAAUGUCUCAA
Molecule: long non-coding RNA, 620 nt
Organism: Diceros bicornis minor
Lineage: Eukaryota; Metazoa; Chordata; Mammalia; Perissodactyla; Rhinocerotidae
Exons: 2
Source: RefSeq, a predicted model, not a curated record